RNAcentral lists this ribosomal RNA (489 nucleotides) under uncultured bacterium. RNAcentral's name for it is "partial 16S ribosomal RNA". It matches the Rfam family "Bacterial small subunit ribosomal RNA", at positions 28 to 507 of the family's 1533-position model. The record is from RNAcentral.
GAUGAACGCUAGCGGCAGGCUUAAUACCUGCAAGUCGAGGGGCCGCAGGCCUGUAGCAUUACAGUUGCUGGCGACCGGCAAACGGGUCCGGAACACGUAUGCAAACUACCCAAAACUGGGGGAUAGCCCGGGGAACCCCGGAAUAAUAACACGUAACCUUCUCAAGUAGCAUUACUUGAUAAGUAUAGCUCAGGCGCCUCUCGAUGCGCGAGCGCCUGUUUAGGUAGUUGGUGCGGGUAACGGCCCACCAAGCCUGCGAUCAGUAACUGAUGUGAGAGCACGACCAAUCGGACGGGGACUGGGUGACGGGCCCGACACCGACGGGAGGCAGCAGGAAGGAAUAUGGGUCGAUGGACGCAAGUCUGAACCAACCAUGCCGCGUGAAGGAUGAAGGUCCUCUGGAAUGUAAACUUCUGGUAUGGUUGACGAACCCCGGAUAUUCUGAGGCGAUUGACGGUACCUCAGGAAGAAGCACCGGCUAACUCCGUG